AGAAUGCUCGGCGCCUGCGCACUAGCCGGAAGCCGCUGACGGGCCCGCCGCAAGCGGCGGUAGAGGGCCCCACGCGUGCCUGGGGAAUGGCGGGAAGCCGAAGAGGCUCGAGGCUCGGGCAUGCGCACACAGUCAACUGCCUACCGGGUGCGCGAGAAGCCCCCUUGUCUUGUGUGAGGAGGGCGUCCCCUGAGACUGGGUUCUGGAGCCUAGAGAAACAGCUCUAAAUUCUCAGCGACAGAAAAAGCAGACCUCAAACCCUCCCUUUCCAUCCUGCUCCUCCUCCUCUCCCUCCUAGAGCACAGGACCAGCUGUGGCCCUGAGAGACACCCUUUUCUCAGCCCUCAGAGAGACGGUCCAGCCUUUCCAGGAGGGAUAGACCUCUGGGCUGAGGCCACCAUGGCCGGCCCUUCGGACUACUUGGCCCUCACGGGAGCCCCCAGCUUCUGGAUUGGGGCUGCACGGCCUCCCCUCAGGCUGCUUCAACAAGUAGCCCCUCAUUCCAUGGAUGAGACUCGCCUGCCCGCUCCGGCCUGACCGGAUCGGGGCCUGAGCGCCGAGGAGCUGGAACCCCCUCCGCCCCACCCCAGGGGCACGGCCGCCUGCGUCAGAGGAGGGGGCAGUGAUGGCGGCCGGCGGAGCCUGGGGCCCAGCCGCCUCCGAUACGGCUCCACGCAACUCUCCCUUCAUCCAGCCUUAACCUUGCCCGGGACUUCGGCAGACUGCGCAGCCCCUCUCCCACGGCCCAGUUCCUCUCCCACGGCACCCUUCCUGAGAACAUAACCUCCAGGCCAUCGAGCCCAGCUGAACGCCGCCUCUCGGGGUGAGGGGGACGGCCUGGCAGAGGAGCGGGUGCCUUCCUGCCCGCCCGUGGCCGACCUGGAGAGCUCAAAUAUAGCCGAGGCAGGUAUUUUCCGCCUAGUGGGCAUGGAAAGGCCACGGGGAUGAGAAAACUGAGGUCCAGAGAGAACAAAUGGAAUGCCCAAGUUCACAAAGAGAUAUUUGACAUCUCUGGAAGUAUUUUGGUUGUUGGAUCUGUGGAUGAACUAUUGGUAACCACUGGAUAGUGGCCAGGGUCCAGCAAUUAACAGGACAAUCCCCUACAACAAAGAAUUAUCUGGUCCAAAAUAGAGAGACAGAGCAUGAACGGGGGAGGGGCAGAGAGAGAGGGAG
This is a long non-coding RNA of Herpailurus yagouaroundi (jaguarundi), 1173 nucleotides long. RefSeq lists it as uncharacterized. The transcript has 4 exons. NCBI's taxonomy places the organism in Eukaryota, Metazoa, Chordata, Mammalia, Carnivora, Felidae. The record is from RefSeq and is a predicted model, not a curated record.